This 430-nucleotide unclassified non-coding RNA is filed under the name soil metagenome. RNAcentral's name for it is "partial contains 5.8S ribosomal RNA, internal transcribed spacer 2, and large subunit ribosomal RNA". The stretch from base 1 to 120 matches the Rfam family "5.8S ribosomal RNA", at positions 35 to 154 of the family's 154-position model. The record is from RNAcentral.
GAUGAAGAACGUAGCGAAAUGCGAUACGUAAUGUGAAUUGCAGAAUUCAGUGAAUCAUCGAAUCUUUGAACGCAUAUUGCGCUCUCUGGUAUUCCGGAGAGCAUGCUUGUUUGAGUAUCAGUAAACACCUCAACUCCCUUUUCUUUUUUGAAAUUGGAGCUGGACUUGAGUGAUCCCAACGCUUUCUUCCAAGAAAGUGGCGGGUUGCUUGAAAUGCAGGUGCAGCUGAACUUUUCUCUGAGCUAUAAGCAUAUCUAUUUAGUCUGCCUAAAAAACAGAUUAUUACCUUUGCUGCAGCUAACAUAAAGGAGACUAGUUCUUGUGCUGACUGAUGCAGGAUUCACAGAGACAGCUUCGGCUGACUUUGUAAACUCGAUCUCAAAUCAAGUAAGACUACCCGCUGAACUUAGGCAUAUCAAUAAGCGGAGGA